This 223-nucleotide unclassified non-coding RNA is filed under the name uncultured fungus. RNAcentral describes it as "sequence contains ITS1". Lineage: Eukaryota; Fungi. The record is from RNAcentral.
UUGAUUCAUUUGUUUUUUUUUCUCAGACUGCAUCGUAAUCAAGAGUUUUGGGGCUCCCGGCAGGCGGCUCUCCCAUCAGAGGCCCGACUCAGCCCCCGUUACGGGGCUCGCGGAUCUCUCACGGGGCACCACUUCCCACCGAGGCAACCGGACGGUAAUCAAGGGUGGAGACGUGCAAAAGCACAACUCGGUAAUGAUCCUUCCGCAGGUUCACCUACGGAAA